RNAcentral lists this long non-coding RNA (328 nucleotides) under Elaeis guineensis (African oil palm). Its description in RNAcentral is "long non-coding RNA (EGUI_LNC033933)". The record is from RNAcentral. Lineage: Eukaryota; Viridiplantae; Streptophyta; Magnoliopsida; Arecales; Arecaceae.
CAAAAUAAGUGCACUGUAAUCUCAGAUUAUAGUGAAAAUUUUCAAAUGGAGCUUGAGGAGUGGAUGUAGGUGCUUGGAGUAUAUCGAACAACUAUAAAUCUCUUGUGUUUAUGUGGUGUGCUUGUGUUUACUUACUUUACAUACUUGUUUAGUUGUUAUUAAUUUAUUUUCACUGCUAUUCACUGCAUUUACUAUACACUUAUAGUAUUUUACUUGAUUGUUUUGAAAAACAACACAUAUUUGCUCUAAGAUUUUGAAAAUCCAAUUCACCCCUUCCCCCUCUUGGGUUGUCUAACUGGACGACAAAUAAGUUUAGCAAAAGCAUCCG